Molecule: long non-coding RNA, 1059 nt
Organism: Paramisgurnus dabryanus
Lineage: Eukaryota; Metazoa; Chordata; Actinopteri; Cypriniformes; Cobitidae
Source: RefSeq, a predicted model, not a curated record
AUAUAACUUUUUCUAUUAAUAAAAUUCAUUAAAAUCUUCCUCAUCCCAAAAGAAGUUUUUAUGAAAUUGUGACAUGCAACACCAAAUGUUAUUUCCCAGAAUUUGGGAAGUACACAGGAAGUCAUGUCAGCCAAUGGUAACGUGCAGACCCUCUAUAGCUCCACCCCAAACAGCUUAUAACUCCCUCUACCAGGCAUUGCCAGAUCCACACCAAGAAGUUUAUAUCUACGCAACAGAAAAGUCUAGAAAGCAAAAUGGAGGUCCAGUUACUGAAUAAACCUUCAGAUGGGGAUAAAGAAAUGAAUCCUGAUCCUCAAGUGGUCACUAUGCAGCCAGAAGUGAAUCUGACCAUCACUCCAGAGGAUAAACCACUGCCAGAUUACCUGGGUUACUCCAUCUUUACCAUGAUCUUCUGUUUUUUACCCACAGGCAUUGCUGCUCUUGUUUACUCCGUCACAACUCGAAAUGCAAACAAGUCAGGACACCGACAAAUUGCAGAGGAACACUCCAGAACUGCACGCAUACUUAACCAUGUCAGUCUUGGUAUUGGCAUAGCAAUAUAUGUCAGCAGUCUUAUUGCUUUUGGGACCAUAUUUCUACUACUUGCACAUCAUAAUUAAAGUCUGGAGUAUAAAGGUAUACCUUUUGUUGGGAAAAUGAAUAUACCUUCAGCUACAGCAAUUAUGUACACAUUUUAAAGGCCCAUGUUGACAUUAAGUGACUAUCAUACAACUGAUGAGGACCAUGUGUGUGGGUCAGAGAGAGCUCGUCGUAUUGUUGUUGAUGAAUGUUUGGUUAACUGUGAUAUUUUAUGUUUGCAAGAGACUUUAUAUAUGUAAGACUUUGAAUAAUUAAAUUAUUUUAAUAGUAAUUUAUUGUUCUUAAAGUAUAUGCACCUUAUGAAUGUCAUUAAUGAAAAUGAGUAGCUACUUAAGCAGAAUUGCAUUUAUUAAUUUGUUUAUUAAAAGUAUGGCUACCCCUGGCCUGUAUUGUAUCUGUUGUUGGGGAUGAGAAUGCUGACAUUUCAGACAGUAGCUCAAUAAAGUUUAUUAUUAUUUA